GAUGAACGCUGGCGGCGUGCUUAACACAUGCAAGUCGAACGGUGAAGGCGGAGCUUGCUCUGCUGGAUCAGUGGCGAACGGGUGAGUAACACGUGAGCAAUCUGCCCCUGACUCUGGGAUAAGCGCUGGAAACGGCGUCUAAUACUGGAUACGAGCUGCGAAGGCAUCUUCAGCAGCUGGAAAGAAUUUCGGUCAGGGAUGAGCUCGCGGCCUAUCAGCUUGUUGGUGAGGUAAUGGCUCACCAAGGCGUGGACGGGUAGCCGGCCUGAGAGGGUGACCGGCCACACUGGGACUGAGACACGGCCCAGACUCCUACGGGAGGCAGCAGUGGGGAAUAUUGCACAAUGGGCGAAAGCCUGAUGCAGCAACGCCGCGUGAGGGACGACGGCCUUCGGGUUGUAAACCUCUUUUAGCAGGGAAGAAGCGAAAGUGACGGUACCUGCAGAAAAAGCGCCGGCUAACUACGUG
Molecule: ribosomal RNA, 468 nt
Filed under: uncultured bacterium
Lineage: Bacteria
Description: partial 16S ribosomal RNA
Rfam family: Bacterial small subunit ribosomal RNA
Source: RNAcentral